AUGUGUUUUCAAUACCUCUUGAGCUGCUUCACCGGAGGAGACUACGAGUAUGGGGACACGGCCAAAAUGAAGGAGCAUGAGAGGUCCGUACCUGAGGCUGAGGGACCGGAGGGAACGGUGAGGGUGGAGGCUGAGCUGGUGGAGGUUUCCAAUCACCGGAAGUCGCCAUGGAGAUGGUGGUAGGUUCACUUUAGUGGCGGUUCGUUUGAGGAAUUUUCUAAGCAAUAGAAGGGUUAAGAGGGUCGUCAAGCAC
RNAcentral lists this long non-coding RNA (253 nucleotides) under Arabidopsis lyrata. RNAcentral describes it as "long non-coding RNA (ALYR_LNC002073)". Lineage: Eukaryota; Viridiplantae; Streptophyta; Magnoliopsida; Brassicales; Brassicaceae. The record is from RNAcentral.